This 524-nucleotide ribosomal RNA is filed under the name uncultured bacterium. Its description in RNAcentral is "bacterial SSU rRNA". It matches the Rfam family "Bacterial small subunit ribosomal RNA", at positions 20 to 518 of the family's 1533-position model. The record is from RNAcentral.
UGGCUCAGGACGAACGCUGGCGGCGUGCCUAAUACAUGCAAGUGGAACGCAUGAUUGAUACCGUAGCUUGCUACACCAUAAUCAUGAGUCGCGAACGGGUGAGUAACGCGUAGGUAACCUGCCUACUAGCGGGGGAUAACUAUUGGAAACGAUAGCUAAUACCGCAUAAGAGUUUUUAACACAUGUUAGAAAUUUAAAAGGAGCAAAUGCUUCACUAGUAGAUGGACCUGCGUUGUAUUAGCUAGUUGGUAAGGUAACGGCUUACCAAGGCGACGAUACAUAGCCGACCUGAGAGGGUGAUCGGCCACACUGGGACUGAGACACGGCCCAGACUCCUACGGGAGGCAGCAGUAGGGAAUCUUCGGCAAUGGGGGGAACCCUGACCGAGCAACGCCGCGUGAGUAGAAGAAGGUUUUCGGAUCGUAAAGCUCUGUUGUAAGAGAAGAACGUUGAGUAGAGUGGAAAGUUACUCAAGUGACGGUAUCUUACCAGAAAGGGACGGCUAACUACGUGCCAGCCGCUGC